Long non-coding RNA from Drosophila subpulchrella, 1285 nucleotides. RefSeq lists it as uncharacterized. The transcript is spliced from 4 exons. Lineage: Eukaryota; Metazoa; Arthropoda; Insecta; Diptera; Drosophilidae. The record is from RefSeq and is a predicted model, not a curated record.
CUGUUACAUACUUUCCGACGAAUCUAGUAUACCCUUUUACUCUACGAGUAACGGGUAUAAAAAUCUAAUCCAAGCCUUGGUCAAGUUGAUCAUUAUUUUGGGACUUGACCCACAGGAAGCAUUACUUCAACUUGCAGAGUCCGCAGAGUAAUGGAAGUGCUUGAGAUACUACAAUCGAUAAGCCCAUUGGGAAGGAGCACGACGAGUGGGACUUCGCUCCCUACUUAGGCAUCCUGCUAAACGGGUCCACGCACAGAAAUAUCUUUUUAGCAGAGCCACCAGUAAUACGAUCUCCGACGAGCUCUUCAUUGGGGAAUUAUCGGAUUCCAUCACAACUUGGAUGGUAAAGCUGAGCAGAAGAACGCGCUGGCUUCUAUAGGGAGGAGAAAAAAGGCCGCCCGUUCAGGAACAGCUGGAUGAGCCAUCAACAGCUAUUGCCAGGUUGCUAGGCGACUUCCUGCAGCAUCCGCGGAACAACCCCAUGUUGGCAUAUUCCGAAUCGGAGCGGGACUGUAGAUGCCUCGAAGAAGAUGGCGAAGCAUCAGCGACACGACAAGGAAGCCAUAAGCUAUUAACAGCAGAUUCGUCUUUUUUAAAUCGCCAACAAAAUUAAAACCAUGCUACAUGCAUUGCGGGUGAACUUUGAAAACUUCGGUUACACUACAAAGAAUCCGAUUUUUCGACUAGUGAAUUUACUUAGCCGAACUGAAUUAGUAUAUUAGCUUUUGGUGCAACAGGUGCCAGAGCUUGCCAAGCACAUAAGCUGGAGUUUGCUCAUUUCCUUAAAAUCGCCAAGUGCCAUUACCACCUAAACUGGUACAGAAUUCUAAAAAAAACACUGAAAUACUAGAUUUAUUAAUAAAUUGAAAAUGUAGCGACUUUGUCCCGCCUCUUUCUCGCACGUGUGUUAAUUAUGGAAGAAAAAGUCGCUGGACCGGAAUUUGGUCGCUGAAGCCCCGCCGUGUGAAUAGGGUAUUACACGAAAUAACAUUUUACCAAUAGAAACUACUUUAAAAAAUAUAAAAGCAUAUUUAUAUUCGUGUCAAGCUGACUCGUUCUGAAAUAAAUAUUAACUAUACCAGAAAAUACCGAACAAAUACCGACGACCCAACAAUGACACUAAUUUUGCAUUCCUCUAGGUUCCUAUGCGAAUAGGUCCAAUAUGCUCAUUGGGACUCGAAGCUGGACUGCGGUGGCGCGGGAAAGAUGGCGAAGCACCCGUGGAACGAGAAGAAGGCUUUAAACUACUAACUUAAGAAAAUAAAAACAUUUAUUGAACAUUCAA